GAUGAACGCUGGCGGCGUGCCUAAUACAUGCAAGUCGAGCGAACGGACGAGAAGCUUGCUUCUCUGAUGUUAGCGGCGGACGGGUGAGUAACACGUGGAUAACCUACCUAUAAGACUGGGAUAACUUCGGGAAACCGUAGAUAAUACCGGAUAAUAUUUUGAACCGCAUGGUUCAAAAGUGAAAGACGGUCUUGCUGUCACUUAUAGAUGGAUCCGCGCUGCAUUAGCUAGUUGGUAAGGUAACGGCUUACCAAGGCAACGAUGCAUAGCCGACCUGAGAGGGUGAUCGGCCACACUGGAACUGGGACACGGUCCAGACUCCUACGGGAGGCAGCAGUAGGGAAUCUUCCGCAAUGGGCGAAAGCCUGACGGAGCAACGCCGCGUGAGUGAUGAAGGUCUUCGGAUCGUAAAACUCUGUUAUUAGGGAAGAACAUAUGUGUAAGUAACUGUGCACAUCUUGACGGUACCUAAUCAGAAAGCCACGGCUAACUACGUG
This 497-nucleotide ribosomal RNA is filed under the name uncultured bacterium. RNAcentral's name for it is "partial 16S ribosomal RNA". It matches the Rfam family "Bacterial small subunit ribosomal RNA", at positions 28 to 507 of the family's 1533-position model. The record is from RNAcentral.